Podarcis muralis (Common wall lizard) is the source of this 1717-nucleotide non-coding RNA. Lineage: Eukaryota; Metazoa; Chordata; Lepidosauria; Squamata; Lacertidae. The record is from RefSeq and is a predicted model, not a curated record.
CAAGAAAGAGGUCUUUGGGAAUGUCCAGCAAGCAAACUGUGUAUCAAAUAUACCAUGAUAUGUGAUGGCUUUCCAGACUGUCCUGACAAUGUGGAUGAAACUAAUUGCUCAUUUUGCAAAAGGGAUGAACUUACAUGUGCCAACCAUGACUGUGUUCCUCGAAAAUCAUGGUGUGAUGGGCAGAUAGACUGUGCUGACAAAUCAGAUGAAUGGAACUGUGUGACCCUGUCUAAAAACAGCAGCUCCUUGAUGUUCCUGACUGUUCACAAGUCAGCUUCCAAUUACCAUGUAUGCGCUGAUGAAUGGGACGAAAAUUUAAGCCAUUUGGCAUGCAAACAAAUGGGUUUAGGGUAAGGUCAGUAGUUUGUAGCAUUGAUCAACUUUUCCAGGUGUGACUAUGAGUCUGGGUGAAGCUGAUUGAGUCUGUGACAAUUUCUUAAUUAGCAAAAACACUGUUUUCUUCCUUUGCUUCUGCUGCCUGUUUACUUAGCGCAAUCUAGACUCUCUGACGUGCCCUGGAUUGCACAUCACACCAUGCCAAAUGGGGCUGCAAGAGUGGAGCUUAUAGCUGUUUUGUUCUUCACUGGACCUUUUUGCUACCAUACCAUGCUGAGCUAAGCCAGGGUAUGGCUUAACAUGGCAUCCAAACCUGGGCUUGUGGCUAGGCUUUCUUCAGACCAACCAUGAGCUGUAACCAAUAAUAAAUGGGUAGAUUAGUAAACCAAAGCUAUAGUUGAUUAAUUGGGAGAAGCCAAAUCUAAUCAAUGAGGCUACAAGUGAAAAGUGCACUUGUUUAUUUUGUGAGGCAGGUUUGGUAUGUUACUGUAAUAGUGAAUGAAAAAGAAAAGGUUAAGCUUUUCUUUUUAACAGUGAGUAGUAGCUUUUUGUUAUUAACACAUACAUAAUUUCACACUUCCUUCAAAAUUGCAUAAAGCCAUGCAUGUUGGGGUUUUGAUAAUAAGCCAGCUUAUCUAAAUGUAACCAGUUGAUUCUAUGAAAGGUAAAUGAUUAACCAGCUAAUCAAUGUUUUCAUAACUUGAGAGGCCUUCUAUGGAGAAUCCAUAAGCUAGGGUUUUAAGGGGAAUUUUGUUGAAAGUGGGAAUCUCAGUGCCAUCCAAAUUUGUUUGGGGAUUAUUAGGAUUGGUUUGGUUGUGCAUGAUGAAGUGAUCAAGUGAGUCACAUUAAAUAAAUACAGUCCCCCCCUAAUGAUAGGGUUAUUGACCACUUGUCCUACUUCUGGCCUUCCAAAGGCAUCUGGUUCACCAAUGUGGGAAAGUAAAUGCUGGAACAGAUAGGGUUUUGGUCUGAUCUAGUGGGGCUCUUAUUAUUAUUUUAUCCAUAUGUUUGAAUUUAUUGCAUGCCCAUUGUAAACCUGACCUCUGAAGCAGCUGGGAGGACAUAAAAGACCCUUUCCGUUUGUUUUGUAAAACUUGAGUUGUUCUCUUCCCUAUAAACUGAAUUCCUAAAAUCUUAUGCUGUUGAUCCUGAUUUAACCACAGUUCUUACAGCGUAAAACACAUUGGUAUAAUAUUUUGUUGCAGAAAACUCUUUUAUGCUAGAUGAGGCUCUUUUGUGGAAGUAUUGUAUGUGUGUGUGGCUUAGGUGUACCACUGUUUAAUCUAGGCAAGAGGGUUUGGGGUACUUUGUUCUGUGCAGACAGGAUAUGAAACACUUCUGCUUAGAUAACCAUACAUGCUGAAUUCAAGUGGCCAAAUAU